This 495-nucleotide ribosomal RNA is filed under the name uncultured bacterium. RNAcentral's name for it is "partial 16S ribosomal RNA". It matches the Rfam family "Bacterial small subunit ribosomal RNA", at positions 28 to 507 of the family's 1533-position model. The record is from RNAcentral.
GACGAACGCUGGCGGCGUGCCUAAUACAUGCAAGUAGAACGCUGAAGGAGGAGCUUGCUCUUCUGGAUGAGUUGCGAACGGGUGAGUAACGCGUAGGUAACCUGCCUGGUAGCGGGGGAUAACUAUUGGAAACGAUAGCUAAUACCGCAUAAGAGUAGAUGUUGCAUGACAUUUACUUAAAAGGUGCAAUUGCAUCACUACCAGAUGGACCUGCGUUGUAUUAGCUAGUUGGUGGGGUAACGGCUUACCAAGGCGACGAUACAUAGCCGACCUGAGAGGGUGAUCGGCCACACUGGGACUGAGACACGGCCCAGACUCCUACGGGAGGCAGCAGUAGGGAAUCUUCGGCAAUGGACGGAAGUCUGACCGAGCAACGCCGCGUGAGUGAAGAAGGUUUUCAGAUCGUAAAGCUCUGUUGUAAGAGAAGAACGAGUGUGAGAGUGGAAAGUUCACACUGUGACGGUAUCUUACCAGAAAGGGACGGCUAACUACGUG